AUUGAACGCUGGCGGCAGGCCUAACACAUGCAAGUCGAGCGAGCGGCGGACGGGUGAGUAAUGUAUGGGGAACUGCCUGAUGGAGGGGGCUAAAUACUGGAAACGGUAGCUAAUACCGCAUACCAUCAGAUGGACCCAGAUGGGAUUAGCUAGUAGGUGUGGUAAUGGCUCACCUAGGCGACGAUCCCUAGCUGGUCUGAGAGGAGGACCAGCCACACGGGAACUGAUACACGGCCCAGACUCCUACGGGAGGAAGCAGUGGGGAAUAUUGGACAAUGGGCGAAAGCCGGAUGCAGAAAUGCGGCGUGGAUGAAGAAGGCGUUCGGGUUGUAAAGUACUUUCAGUGGGGAGGCGUUACCUACAGAAGAAGCACCGGCUAACUACGUGCCAGCAGCCGCGGUAAUUC
Molecule: ribosomal RNA, 406 nt
Filed under: uncultured bacterium
Lineage: Bacteria
Description: partial 16S ribosomal RNA
Rfam family: Bacterial small subunit ribosomal RNA
Source: RNAcentral